Molecule: ribosomal RNA, 468 nt
Filed under: uncultured bacterium
Lineage: Bacteria
Description: partial 16S ribosomal RNA
Rfam family: Bacterial small subunit ribosomal RNA
Source: RNAcentral
GACGAACGCUGGCGGCGUGCUUAACACAUGCAAGUCGAACGGAAAGGCCCUGCUUUUGUGGGGUGCUCGAGUGGCGAACGGGUGAGUAACACGUGAGUAACCUGCCCUUGACUUUGGGAUAACUUCAGGAAACUGGGGCUAAUACCGGAUAGGAGCUCCUGCUGCAUGGUGGGGGUUGGAAAGUUUCGGCGGUUGGGGAUGGACUCGCGGCUUAUCAGCUUGUUGGUGGGGUAGUGGCUUACCAAGGCUUUGACGGGUAGCCGGCCUGAGAGGGUGACCGGCCACAUUGGGAAUGAGAUACGGCACAGACACCUACGGGAGGCAGAAGUGGGGAAUAUUGCACAAUGGGCGGAAGACUGAUGCAGCAACGCCGCGUGCGGGAUGAAGGCCUGAGGGUUGUAAACCGCUUUCGCCUGUGACGAAGCGUGAGUGACGGUAAUGGGUAAAGAAGAACCAGCUAACUACGUG